RNAcentral lists this long non-coding RNA (432 nucleotides) under Penaeus japonicus. Its description in RNAcentral is "uncharacterized LOC122262318". The record is from RNAcentral. Lineage: Eukaryota; Metazoa; Arthropoda; Malacostraca; Decapoda; Penaeidae.
CAAAAUGGCGAUCAAGAUUCUUGUUCUGUCCACCUUCCUGGUCGGUGUCCUCAGCAGUUCACUGCCAUCCUACAACGCUCCAGCUCCUGCUCCCACGGGCCCAGCCCAGUACGACUUCAACUACGCAGUGAACCACGAUCACUCCAAUAACGACUUCGGCCACCAAGAAAAUCGAAAUGGAUACGACACUCAAGGAGCUUACUUUGUGCUACUCCCCGACGGUCGUGUACAGAGGGUUUCGUACACUGUGAAUGGCGACGCUGGGUACGUGGCCCAAGUUACGUACGAGGGAGAGGCCCAAUACGGCGCCCAAAGACCUUCUACUUCUUACCAGCCUGCUCCUGCUUAUGCCUAACUUUACAGUUUAGGAUAUAUUUAAUUUAACUGAAAUAACAAGUAUUAUUUAAUCAAAUCACAAUAAAUGUUAUCAUA